RNAcentral lists this unclassified non-coding RNA (205 nucleotides) under Hevea brasiliensis (rubber tree). The record is from RNAcentral. Lineage: Eukaryota; Viridiplantae; Streptophyta; Magnoliopsida; Malpighiales; Euphorbiaceae.
CUAGGGUUUGAAACUCAAAUAUGGGGGUAGAUGCAAUUGAACAAAAAAUGAUGUUGUAAUGGUCAUUUAGUGACCAUUUGGUGUAGUUUGAAUUGAAAAUGGAGUGAUUAGUAACAUUAACUAAUGUAAAGAAUUAGACUGCCUAAAGUGUGCAUUCUGGACCCUUUGAGUCCAGUGUGCUCUUGGGGUUAUAACUCAAGCUAGG